CCUACGGUACUGCAGCAGUGGGGAAUAUUGGACAAUGGGCGAAAGCCUGAUCCAGCCAUGCCGCGUGUGUGAAGAAGGCCUUCGGGUUGUAAAGCACUUUCAGUGGGGAAGAAAGCCUUGGGGCUAAUACCCUCGAGGAAGGACAUCACCCACAGAAGAAGCACCGGCUAACUCCGUGCCAGCAGCCGCGGUAAUACGGAGGGUGCGAGCGUUAAUCGGAAUUACUGGGCGUAAAGCGCGCGUAGGCGGUCUGAUAAGCCGGUUGUGAAAGCCCCGGGCUCAACCUGGGAACGGCAUCCGGAACUGUCAGGCUAGAGUGCAGGAGAGGAAGGUAGAAUUCCCGGUGUAGCGGUGAAAUGCGUAGAGAUCGGGAGGAAUACCAGUGGCGAAGGCGGCCUUCUGGACUGACACUGACGCUGAGGUGCGAAAGCGUGGGUAGCAAACAGGAUUAGAUACCCUUGUAGUC
Molecule: ribosomal RNA, 466 nt
Filed under: Vreelandella stevensii
Lineage: Bacteria; Pseudomonadati; Pseudomonadota; Gammaproteobacteria; Oceanospirillales; Halomonadaceae
Description: partial 16S ribosomal RNA
Rfam family: Bacterial small subunit ribosomal RNA
Source: RNAcentral